Molecule: ribosomal RNA, 196 nt
Filed under: Trichoderma virens
Lineage: Eukaryota; Fungi; Ascomycota; Sordariomycetes; Hypocreales; Hypocreaceae
Description: partial large subunit ribosomal RNA
Rfam family: Eukaryotic large subunit ribosomal RNA
Source: RNAcentral
AGUAACGGCGAUUGAGGCGGCAACAGCUAAAAUUUGAAAUCUGGCCCCUGGGGGUCCGAGUUGUAAUUUGUAGAGAAUGCUUUUGGUGAGGUGCCGCCCGAGUUCCCUGGAGCGGGACGCCACAGAGGGUGAGAGCCCCGUCUGGCUGGCGACCGAGCCUCUGUAAAGCUCCUUCGACGAGUCGAGUUGUUUGGGA